Microcebus murinus (gray mouse lemur) is the source of this 489-nucleotide non-coding RNA. NCBI's taxonomy places the organism in Eukaryota, Metazoa, Chordata, Mammalia, Primates, Cheirogaleidae. The record is from RefSeq and is a predicted model, not a curated record.
UUUUUUUAACUCUCAGACUUGUCCACUCUGAGCCUCCAGCAAUGCAUCAGCUGCAGUUCACAUUUUCCUAACCCAACACUGACUGCCACAAAGAUUCUGCUAAUGGAUUUCUGCUCUAGAAAUGACCUUGGGCCAAAAGAUUGGGGAGAUUCAACAACGUGUGCCAACAACAUGUGAAAGAAAAUUCUACAUGUGUGAUAGCUCUUAUUCCGUAAAUUCAAAUUUAAAGAAUCGAUCAACAGCAGCAGCACGAGAGAAUUGAUUGAAAAUGCUAAGGUUCAGAGAUGGCAUGUUUGUCAUGAACUCACAGACCAAAGGAACUUGCUGACAAGGAUAUUUGAAAAGUUUUAAGGUAAAAACAAACAACCAAUCAACCACAACAAUAUGAAGAAGACGAUAUCUACCUGAAAAAUUCUAGGAAAGUACGAGAACAGAAAGGAUUGACUUGAAUUUCAGUAUCCCCAUUUUAUUACUCUGAUGCUUCCAUCG